UCGAGUGAGUGCUUGUAAGAGGGGGUUUAGAGUCGGGGGUUGGAUCGAGAGAGAGGUAGCCGGCCGCCGGCCGACGCGGGGCUUAGGGAGCGGCAGCCGACGCGGGGGUUUAGGGAGCGGAUAAGGUAAGAGAACAAGCGGGGGAGGCGGGGGUUUAGGGAGCGGAGAAGGUAGGAGAGCAGGCGGGGGAGGCGGACUAAACGACCAGUCAUCGGGUUGCUGGGCGACGGAGGCUUCACAGCGGCCGUUUCGAAGGGUGCUGAAGACCUUCUCCCAGCAGCAGUUGCUGGGGCACCGGCGGCAGCGAGCUGGUGGCGUAGGAAGGGACUCGCCGCGGGAAAGGUUAGGUCCAAUAUCCUGAAGACUUCAAUAAAGUGAACAACUGCUCUUUCUUUUGUAUCAAUUUGACGACUAACAGUUC
Molecule: ribosomal RNA, 421 nt
Filed under: Triticum aestivum (bread wheat)
Lineage: Eukaryota; Viridiplantae; Streptophyta; Magnoliopsida; Poales; Poaceae
Description: partial small subunit ribosomal RNA
Source: RNAcentral